RNAcentral lists this ribosomal RNA (510 nucleotides) under uncultured bacterium. RNAcentral describes it as "partial 16S ribosomal RNA". It matches the Rfam family "Bacterial small subunit ribosomal RNA", at positions 28 to 507 of the family's 1533-position model. The record is from RNAcentral.
GACGAACGCUGGCGGCGUGCUUAACACAUGCAAGUCGAACGAAGAGCGAUGGACGCUUGCUUCUAUCAAUCUUAGUGGCGAACGGGUGAGUAACGCGUAAUCAACCUGCCCUUCAGAGGGGGACAACAGUUGGAAACGACUGCUAAUACCGCAUACGAUCUAAUCUCGGCAUCGAGGAUAGAUGAAAGGUGGCCUCUACAUGUAAGCUAUCACUGAAGGAGGGGAUUGCGUCUGAUUAGCUAGUUGGAGGGGUAACGGCCCACCAAGGCGAUGAUCAGUAGCCGGUCUGAGAGGAUGAACGGCCACAUUGGGACCGAGACACGGCCCAGACUCCUACGGGAGGCAGCAGUGGGGAAUCUUCCGCAAUGGACGAAAGUCUGACGGAGCAACGCCGCGUGAGUGAUGACGGCCUUCGGGUUGUAAAGCUCUGUUAAUCGGGACGAAAGGCCUUCUUGCGAAUAGGGAGAAGGAUUGACGGUACCGGAAUAGAAAGCCACGGCUAACUACGUG